AUUAAAACACAAGUUCCCGUAAGAUCACCGAAGUUAAGCAAUGUCCAGCCCGGUUAGUAUCUAGAUGGGUGGCCGCUUGGGAAUACCAGGAGCUGUAA
This is a non-coding RNA of Acanthosepion pharaonis, 98 nucleotides long. The record is from the annotation of a GenBank genome assembly. NCBI's taxonomy places the organism in Eukaryota, Metazoa, Mollusca, Cephalopoda, Sepiida, Sepiidae.